Molecule: ribosomal RNA, 253 nt
Filed under: uncultured bacterium
Lineage: Bacteria
Description: partial 16S ribosomal RNA
Rfam family: Bacterial small subunit ribosomal RNA
Source: RNAcentral
UACAGGGGGUGCAAACGUUGCUCGGAAUCAUUGGGCGUAAAGCGCACGUAGGCGGUCUUUUAUGUCGGAUGUGAAAGCCCUUGGCUUAACUGAGGAAGUGCAUCCGAAACUGGCAGGCUAGAGUACUAAAGAGGGUCGCGGAAUUCCCGGUGUAGAGGUGAAAUUCGUAGAUAUCGGGAGGAACACCGGUGGCGAAGGCGGCGACCUGGGUAGAUACUGACGCUGAGGUGCGAAAGCGUGGGGAGCAAACAGG